Molecule: long non-coding RNA, 1946 nt
Organism: Suricata suricatta (meerkat)
Lineage: Eukaryota; Metazoa; Chordata; Mammalia; Carnivora; Herpestidae
Exons: 6
Source: RefSeq, a predicted model, not a curated record
UUGGCCGUUCCGCACCUGCAAUGCGUCAAGCCGAGGCGGGCGUGGAGGGCUCUGCGUGAAUGGUCGUGGCUGACGGGGGAGCCCGCGGCCUUGGGGGGAGAAGCGGCUCCGCCUAUGGCCGCCAUCUUUACUAGUGGCAGAGCGGAUGGCCCCGGACGAGGAGGGGCUUUCGCGGCGCUACUUAGCCAGCGGAGAGAGGCUCUGUGACAGAAGUUUUGUUUGGGGUUUAUUUUUCCCUUUUUACUUUGCGGCAGAAGAAAACAACCAAGUAUUUCAGAAGUGCAGAGGGAAAAUCAUUUUACUAGAGGGAUCAGAAAAAGCUCUGUGGAAGAAGCUGGUGUCAGGUUGGUUAAGGGUAUACAGAAAAUGGCAACAUGUUCCGGGCAAGAAGAAAAGAUUAUCUUGUAUGCAUGGAAUCCAUUGAAGACUCUUGACAAAAUCACAGGGCACCGGAGGAGUGUUUUUUUUCUGCUCUUGGUCAAGUCUGCGAUCUCCACCCGCCUUGCCUCCCCAAGAAAAAAAGCAAUAAUACAAAGAGCUGCAGACAAGGUCGGCUCCGGGCUGUGUUCUGACAGAGAGGAACGUUUUUAACCAGAGACCACCAGAAAGCUCCUUGAGGCCGAAUGAGUUCAGAGACCUGUUUCUCCAGUUUGCCUGAGUCAGUGAGCGAGGAGUCCUUCCUUCUUAAGAUGAAAGGAGUUUGCUCUCACGUGUUCUAGGCGAACCAGUUUAAAAGUCUCAUUCAUCACUGAAAUGCAUUGGAACACCUCCAGACGGUAAGGCAGGUUUCCUCUGCUCCUCUGCCAGCUCCUGGGCUUCUACAUCCUGCAGUCCAGACACACAGAGAGGUCACUUUCUUCUCUCAGCUCUAGUUCCCAAAUCCCUGGAGAAGAACUUUGCUUGGCCUGGCUUGGGUCAGACAGAGUUGAGCACUUACCAGCUGAAGCCUUGACUGAGUUGGGUCACAUACCUACCGGGGACACUCAGGUGGGGCCAGGACAGCCAGGCCACAGUGACCACCUCCCGGAUUCAGGAAAGAGGCUGCUAAUUAGGCAAAACAAUAGGAGUCCACAGCCUAUUCUUUUCCCUAUAAUAUCCUUCUCCAAACAUAGAUGGGAAUCACGCAGGCAUUCUUUUGCCAACAAACAAGGGCUAAGCACUUACUGACUUUGUGUCCAAGUGCCUCCUGGCUGUCUGUGUCUUCACACUGUGUCUCCUAUGACAUUGCUUUCAGGCUGUUUUCCAUAGCUUUCAGCCUCUACUCAUUUUUCAUUCUUCAUGGCCAGAUGGGCUGCCUACUCGCUGGGACCCAACUGAACAUCUCUCAUCCAACUCCUGCAACUAAACCAGACCGCCUUUCCGCAGAUCUCUCCUGCACAAUCUCCUCCGCUGCUCCUUCACAUAGCUUCCCUCCCGCCAGCCCCAGAGAAAAGAUUCAUUCUUGUCGUGUCUGGAGGUGAUCAAAAUCCAUGAGGCGGUGCAGGCUAAAUGAGAACACACUGGGAAGUAAGAUGGAUCUAGAACAGCAAGUGCCUGGCUAGAGGGAGUAAUCUCUGCCACAAAGAAUAGAAGAAGUACAAGUGGAUGAGUGGUGCAUUCUCACCCUUUAGUCAAACUACAUAUGAAGCCAAAUCAGAAUUUGAAAUCAUUUUUGGCUUAUUAUAAGAAAUCCCUGCCACAGACACCGGAAAUACCCAAAGUCAGUAGGGUCAAAUAAUAACAAAAUAAUAACAAUAACAACAACAGUUAAAGUGAGCUGUUCCUAUGCAGUCUGGAGUGGAAUUUCCUAUGUAGAAAAGACUAUUCAAAAAUUUACUUUUAGGGGCACAUGGGUAGCUCAGUCUGUUGGGCAUAUGACUCUUGGGCUCAGCUCAGAUUAAGAUCCCAGGGUCGUGGGAUCAAGCCCCACAUUGGACUCUGCUGACAGCAUGCAGCCUGCUUGGGAU